AGCGAACGCUGGCGGCAGGCCUAACACAUGCAAGUCGAACGAACUCUUCGGAGUUAGUGGCGGACGGGUGAGUAACACGUGGGAACGUGCCUUUUGGUUCGGAAUAACUCAGGGAAACUUGUGCUAAUACCGAAUGUGCUCUUCGGGGGAAAGAUUUAUCGCCAUUAGAGCGGCCCGCGUCUGAUUAGCUAGUUGGUGAGGUAACGGCUCACCAAGGCGACGAUCAGUAGCUGGUCUGAGAGGAUGACCAGCCACACUGGGACUGAGACACGGCCCAGACUCCUACGGGAGGCAGCAGUGGAGAAUCUUGCGCAAUGGGCGAAAGCCUGACGCAGCCAUGCCGCGUGAAUGAUGAAGGUCUUAGGAUUGUAAAAUUCUUUCACCGGGGACGAUAAUGACGGUACCCGGAGAAGAAGCCCCGGCUAACUUCGUG
Molecule: ribosomal RNA, 433 nt
Filed under: uncultured bacterium
Lineage: Bacteria
Description: partial 16S ribosomal RNA
Rfam family: Bacterial small subunit ribosomal RNA
Source: RNAcentral